UGCAGUCGAGGGGCUGCACAUGAGUAGCAAUACGAUGGUGGCGACCGGCGCACGGGUGAGUAACACGUAUGCAACCUACCUUUAACAGGGGAAUAACCCGUUGAAAAACGGACUAAUGCCCCAUGACACAGGGGUCCCGCAUGGGAAUAUUUGUUAAAGAUUAAUCGGUUGAAGAUGGGCAUGCGUUCCAUUAGCUUGUUGGUGAGGUAACGGCCCACCAAGGCAACGAUGGAUAGGGGAACUGAGAGGUUUAUCCCCCACACUGGAACUGAGACACGGUCCAGACUCCUACGGGAGGCAGCAGUGAGGAAUAUUGGUCAAUGGAGGCAACUCUGAACCAGCCAAGUCGCGUGAAGGAUGAAGGUCUUAUGGAUUGUAAACUUCUUUUUCAAGGGAAUAAAGUGGGGGACGUGUCCUCCUUUGCAUGUACCUUGCGAAUAAGGAUCGGCUAACUCCGUGCCAGCAGCCGCGGUAAUACGGAGGAUCCGAGCGUUAUCCGGAUUUAUUGGGUUUAAAGGGUGCGCAGGCGGGAUGUUAAGUCGGCGGUGAAAUUUUGCAGCUCAACUGUAAAAGUGCCUUCGAUACUGGCUUCCUUGAGUGUGGAUGAAGUAGGCGGAAUUUGUGGUGUAGCGGUGAAAUGCUUAGAUAUCACGAGGAACUCCGAUUGCGCAGGCAGCUUACUAAACCACUACUGACGCUCAUGCACGAAGGCGUGGGGAUCAAACAGGAUUAGAUACCCUG
Molecule: ribosomal RNA, 741 nt
Filed under: bacterium enrichment culture clone BH93
Lineage: Bacteria
Description: bacterial SSU rRNA
Rfam family: Bacterial small subunit ribosomal RNA
Source: RNAcentral